UCCGUAGGCGGUGCGGCAAGUCGGAAGUGAAAUCUCUGGGCUUAGCUCAGAGGCUGCUUCCGAAACUGCCGUGCUCGAGUGCGAGAGAGGCAAGUGGAAUUGCGGGUGUAGCGGUGAAAUGCGUAGAUAUCCGCAGGAACAUCCGAGGCGAAAGCGGCUUGCUGGAUCGCAACUGACGCUGAGGGACGAAAGCUAGGGGAGCAAACAGGAUUAGAUACCCUGGUAGUCCUAGCCCUAAACCAUCAGGACUUGGGGUUUGCCCUGUACGGGGCAAGUCCCGGAGCUAACGCGUUAAGUCCUGCGCCUGGGGAGUACGGUCGCAAGGCUGAA
RNAcentral lists this ribosomal RNA (330 nucleotides) under uncultured bacterium. Its description in RNAcentral is "bacterial SSU rRNA". It matches the Rfam family "Bacterial small subunit ribosomal RNA", at positions 568 to 898 of the family's 1533-position model. The record is from RNAcentral.